GCGGCUGUGGCGGAAUUGGCAGACGCGCUAGGUUGAGGGCCUAGUGUCCGUUAAGGACGUGCUGGUUCGACUCCAGUCAGCCGCA
This 85-nucleotide transfer RNA is filed under the name Pirellulales bacterium. Its description in RNAcentral is "tRNA-Leu". It matches the Rfam family "tRNA". From Rfam's summary of the family: Transfer RNA (tRNA) molecules are approximately 80 nucleotides in length. Lineage: Bacteria; Pseudomonadati; Planctomycetota; Planctomycetia; Pirellulales. The record is from RNAcentral.